This 777-nucleotide long non-coding RNA is filed under the name Homo sapiens (human). RNAcentral's name for it is "long intergenic non-protein coding RNA 1905". The record is from RNAcentral. Lineage: Eukaryota; Metazoa; Chordata; Mammalia; Primates; Hominidae.
GCUGUAGAAACCUCUAUUUUUAGUUGUUCAGGGAGAUGGAUUUGAAACUGAUCUUCCAUUUCCUUGGCUGCAGCACUCGAUGAAAGCCUUCUUCUUUGGCAAUACUCAUUGUGUCAGUCAUUGGCUUUCUGUGUCAGGGAACAGCAGGACCUAGAUCGAACCCCUGGCAUUUCAGGCACACUCUUGCCUCAGUCUCAGAGGUGGUCUCCUGCAUGCUGUAUCUCUGCAGAGUGAUUUUUGUCUCUCAUCUGACCCACCAUAGUUCUUUUCUUUCUUCAACAAACAGUUAUUGAACUCCUAUUUACCAAGUGCAUUCCUAGAAAAUAAACAAGACAAUGGAAGCUUCAGGGAUCUCAGAGUUUUAAGAGUUAGGUUCUGUCAAUAGAAGAUACUAAAGAAAGAAAGCCAGGAGAAGAAAAGGGACUUCUUUCUUCAAGGUCUAAGCUGUUCUAAUAGCAUUAUUCUGGGAAUGGCAUCUUCCACUCCUCCUAGUACAAAGAACCUGCUUCCUCAUACCCCGUCAAGGAACUGCAGCAUCCAGGUGAUGGCCACAGUGGCAGAACCUAGGAAGCCAAGAAGAAACCAGAGAAUGGAGACACAUGGCAGCAAUGGCAAGUCAUCAGACCCAGGAUUUCCCAAAGAACACUGGUCCAGGAAGAUGCUCUGUGAAAAAGUGUUCCCUGGUCGGAGAAAUUUGUGAAACACUUUGCAUAAUACUUAAAAGAAUGUAUGGCACAUCAAAGGUAAUAUGCAAUAAAAGAAUUCAUUUUUUUAAAA